This 336-nucleotide unclassified non-coding RNA is filed under the name soil metagenome. Its description in RNAcentral is "partial contains 5.8S ribosomal RNA, internal transcribed spacer 2, and large subunit ribosomal RNA". The stretch from base 1 to 120 matches the Rfam family "5.8S ribosomal RNA", at positions 35 to 154 of the family's 154-position model. The record is from RNAcentral.
GAUGAAGAACGCAGCGAAAGGCGAUAAGUAAUGUGAAUUACAGAAUUCAGUGAAUCAUCGAAUCUUUGAACGCACAUUGCGCCCGCCAGUAUGCUGGCGGGCAUGCCUGUUCGAGCGUCAUUUCAACCAUCAAGCCCCAGGCUUGUGUUGGGGACCUGCGGCUGCCGCAGGCCCUGAAAACCAGUGGCGGGCUCGCUGUCACACCGGGCGUAGUAGAUUUUAUCUCGCUCUGGGCGUGCUGCGGGUUCCGGCCGUUAAAAAACCCUUUUAACCCAAGGUUGACCUCGGAUCAGGUAGGAAUACCCGCUGAACUUAAGCAUAUCAAUAAGCGGAGGA